RNAcentral lists this ribosomal RNA (253 nucleotides) under uncultured bacterium. RNAcentral describes it as "partial 16S ribosomal RNA". It matches the Rfam family "Bacterial small subunit ribosomal RNA", at positions 524 to 776 of the family's 1533-position model. The record is from RNAcentral.
UACAGAGGUCUCAAGCGUUGUUCGGAUUCAUUGGGCGUAAAGGGUGCGUAGGCGGCGCGGUAAGUCGGGUGUGAAAUCUCGGAGCUUAACUCCGAUACUGCAUUCGAUACUGCCGUGCUUGAGGACUGGAGAGGAGACUGGAAUUUACGGUGUAGCGGUGAAAUGCGUAGAUAUCGUAAGGAAGACCAGUGGCGAAGGCGGGUCUCUGGACAGUUCCUGACGCUGAGGCACGAAGGUCAGGGGAGCAAACGGG